Temnothorax curvispinosus is the source of this 372-nucleotide long non-coding RNA. RefSeq lists it as uncharacterized. NCBI's taxonomy places the organism in Eukaryota, Metazoa, Arthropoda, Insecta, Hymenoptera, Formicidae. The transcript has 3 exons. The record is from RefSeq and is a predicted model, not a curated record.
GAGUUCGAAGAAAAUUCAUGUACAUUUAAGAUAUAUGGAGAGCUCCUCACGAUUCGGAAUGUUUGAUUUGCGUGAGUCCCCUUGCCUCUCACGAUUCGGAGAUGAAUGUGCCCAAACCUUUAAAUCUUGGUCGUGUCGAGCUCGUCAAAGUAUUAGGAAUCGGUGCCACAUGACAGAAGAAGAAAUCAAUUGUAAUGCCAUAUGAAGAAAAUAUUGCGUCAAAAUGAAAACCGCUUUGAUGGUAACUGAAAAACCUUCUUUGGCAGCAUCCCUGGCCAAUAUAUUGAGUAAUGGACGAUGUAAUAUCAAAAAACGACUGAAUGGCUUUUGUUCCGUCCACGAAUGGGUAGGUCAAUUUAGAUCCGAGACUGU